This 87-nucleotide transfer RNA is filed under the name bacterium. RNAcentral's name for it is "tRNA-Ser". It matches the Rfam family "tRNA". From Rfam's summary of the family: Transfer RNA (tRNA) molecules are approximately 80 nucleotides in length. Their secondary structure includes four short double-helical elements and three loops (D, anti-codon, and T loops). The record is from RNAcentral. RNAcentral also lists the same sequence under 1 other name.
GGAGAGGUGGCCGAGUGGCUGAAGGCGCAUGCUUGGAAAGCAUGUAUACGGGCAACCGUAUCGGGGGUUCGAAUCCCUUCCUCUCCG